AAGUCGUAACAAGGUUUCCGUAGGUGAACCUGCGGAAGGAUCAUUAGCACUUUUGUGGGAGAAGGGUUUUGUCGUUACGGCAGUCCUGAUCCCCGAUAAACACCUGUGAGCAUAGAUUGAUUUUGUGGAUGGGAGGGUGGUAGAGGUCCAGGCCUGCGGCCUAGCUGCGACCUAGGACCACUCCAAAGCUCUUUCCCUUUUUACUUUUUUAAAACCCCAACAACCAUAUCUAAAAACUUAUCAAAAGACUAAAACUUGCCUCUUGCCCACAAAGCAAGAGACAACCUUGAUAUUCUAACCAAAGAAACAAUUCUUAGCAACGGAUAUCUUGGUUCCC
This 337-nucleotide unclassified non-coding RNA is filed under the name fungal sp. RNAcentral's name for it is "partial internal transcribed spacer region". The stretch from base 1 to 46 matches the Rfam family "Eukaryotic small subunit ribosomal RNA", at positions 1786 to 1831 of the family's 1831-position model. The record is from RNAcentral. Lineage: Eukaryota; Fungi.